This 453-nucleotide ribosomal RNA is filed under the name uncultured bacterium. Its description in RNAcentral is "bacterial SSU rRNA". It matches the Rfam family "Bacterial small subunit ribosomal RNA", at positions 32 to 507 of the family's 1533-position model. The record is from RNAcentral.
AAUCAACGCUGGCGGCGUGCCUAACACAUGCAAGUCGAACGAGAAAGGGGACUUCGGUCCCUGAGUACAGUGGCGCACGGGUGAGUAACACGUGACUUAUCUACCCUCGAGUGGGGAAUAACUUCGGGAAACCGAGGCUAAUACCGCAUAAUACCCACGGGUCAAAGGAGCAAUUCGCUUGAGGAGGAGGUCGCGGCCCGAUUAGUUAGUUGGCGGGGUAAUGGCCCCCACCAAGACGGUGAUCGGUAUCCGGCCUGAGAGGGCGCACGGACACACUGGAACUGAAACACGGUCCAGACUCCUACGGGAGGCAGCAGUGGGGGAAUUUUGCGCAAUGGGGGAAACCCUGACGCAGCAACGCCGCGUGGAGGAUGAAGUCUCUUGGGACGUAAACUCCUUUCGAUCGGGACGAUUAUGACGGUACCGGAAGAAGAAGCCCCGGCUAACUUCGUG